AGCACGAGGAAUUCUGCGUGAAUCAGCCGGGACCAUCCGGUAAGGCUAAAUACUCCCGAGAGACCGAUAGCGAACCAGUACUGUGAAGGAAAGGUGAAAAGCACUUCGAAUAGAAGAGUGAAAUAGUCCCUGAAACCAUGCGCCUACAAGCGGUCGGAGCAGCUUAAGUUGUGACGGCGUGCCUUUUGCAUAAUGAACCUACGAGUUACUUUUUCCGGCAAGGUUAAGCAUCUUGAGAUGUGGAUCCGAAGCGAAAGCGAGUCUGAACAGGGCGGAUAGUCGGAAGGAGUAGACGCGAAACCAAGUGAUCUACCCUUGGGCAGGUUGAAGGUUAGGUAACACUAACUGGAGGACCGAACCGAUAAGCGUUGAAAAGCUUCCGGAUGACCUGAGGGUGGGGGUGAAAGGCUAAUCAAACUUGGAGAUAGCUCGUACUCCCCGAAAUGCAUUUAGGUGCAGCCUUGAGAGUUACUAAUGUGAGGUAGAGCGACUGAUAAGAUGCGAGGGCUUCACCGCCUAUCAAGUCUUGAUAAACUCCGAAUGCGCAUUAGUUCUAUCUCAGGAGUGAGGGCAUGGGUGCUAAGGUCCAUGUCCUAAAGGAGAAGAAUCCAGACCAUCAGCUAAGGUCCCCAAAUAAACACUAAGUUGAACUAACGAAGUCAGAUUGCUAAGACAGCUAGGAUGUUGGCUUGGAAGCAGCCAUUCAUUUAAAGAGUGCGUAACAGCUCACUAGUCGAGGAGUUUGGCGUGGAUAAUAAUCGGGCAUAAGUGUUUUACCGAAGCUAUGGGAUCCUAAUGGAUCGGUAGGGGAGCAUUCCACUCAGCGUUGAAGGCGAAGCGUGAGCUUUACUGGAGCGUGUGGAAAAGCAAAUGUAGGUAUAAGUAACGAUAAAGGGGGUGAGAAACCCCCUCGCCGCAAGACUAAGGUUUCCUGAUCAACGCUAAUCGGAUCAGGGUUAGUCGGGUCCUAAGGCUCAGCCGAACGGUGAGGCCGAUGGCAGAACAGGUUAAUAUUCCUGUACUACCUAUAGGAGUGAUGUGGAGACGGAGGAGUGACAACGCCGCGGACUGACGGAAUAGUCCGUUAAAGGGUGUAGAUGUUGAUUAUCCCAGGCAAAUCCGGGAUAAGAGUCGAACCUGACAGUAUACCAAUUUCCUCGGAAAACGGUAAUAGUGCGUGUAAACAUACUCCCAAGAAAAUCCGCUAAACUUAAUCUUAUAGGUACCCGUACCGUAAACGGACACACGUAGUCGGGUUGAAUAUACUCAGGCGCUUGAGUGAAUCACGGUUAAGGAACUAGGCAAAUUGACCCUGUAACUUCGGGAUAAAGGGUCCCUACCCGGUGACGGGAGGGCGCAGAGAAUAGGUCCAGGCAACUGUUUAACAAAAACACAGGGCUGUGCAAAAUUGAAAGAUCACGUAUACAGCCUGACACCUGCCCGGUGCUGGAAGGUUAAGAGGAGAUGUCAUCGCAAGAGAAGCAUUGAAUUGAAGCCCCAGUAAACGGCGGCCGUAACUAUAACGGUCCUAAGGUAGCGAAAUUCCUUGUCGGGUAAGUUCCGACCUGCACGAAUGGUGUAAUGAUCUGGACACUGUCUCAACCGUGAGCUCAGUGAAAUUGUAGUAUCGGUGAAGAUGCCGAUUACCCGCGAUGGGACGAAAAGACCCCGUGAACCUUUACUAUAGCUUAACAUUGAAUUUGGGUAAUUGAUGUGUAGGAUAGGCCGGAGACUUUGAAGCAGGCACGCCAGUGUUUGUGGAGUCGCUGUUGAAAUACGGCCCUUUGGUUAUUUGAGUUCUAACUCGCUGGUGCGAGGACACUGUUUGGUGGGUAGUUUGACUGGGGUGGUCGCCUCCAAAAGCGUAACGGAGGCUUCUAAAGGUGCCCUCACGCCGAUUGGUAACCGGCGGUAGAGUGUAAUGGCAUAAGGGCGCUUGACUGGGAGACUUACAAGUCGAUCAGGUAGGAAACUAGAGCAUAGUGAUCCGGUGUUUCCGUAUGGAAGGGACAUCGCUCAAAGGAUAAAAGGUACUCCGGGGAUAACAGGCUGAUCCCUCCCAAGAGCUCAUAUCGA
RNAcentral lists this ribosomal RNA (2076 nucleotides) under Bacteroides fragilis str. 2-F-2 #7. Its description in RNAcentral is "bacterial LSU rRNA". It matches the Rfam family "Bacterial large subunit ribosomal RNA", at positions 421 to 2508 of the family's 2925-position model. The record is from RNAcentral. Lineage: Bacteria; Pseudomonadati; Bacteroidota; Bacteroidia; Bacteroidales; Bacteroidaceae.